AGUCUGCUGCCCAGGAGGGUGGUUGAGUUACCAUCACUGGAGAUGUUCAAGAAAUGUUUGGAUGCUGUACUAAAGGGCAUGGUUUAGAGGGGAAGUUAAGUUACCUUCAAAAAUAUAGGUGUGGUCCUAUGAUAAAAGUGGAGUCCCUUCAGGGUCUACAAGAAAUAAGCAGCAAACUACAUUCUACAUACAAGAAUAGAAAUACAAGAGGUAUAAGUACAGAAGAAAGAAUUUCAAUGUUUUAUGUAAGUAAAACUAUAUAAAUCAUUGUGAGAAUAUACAUGGAAUUUUUAAUAGAUUUUUACUUCGGCAGCUUCGAAUAUUUUAGAUUGCAUUGCCUAAAAGGAUUUGAAGUGGUUUGGAAAAAAAAAAUCCAAAGUUGGUUCUUUAUGUAAAUUUCCAACUGGAAAAAGAGUAUAAAAUAGUGACAGUAUUGUUUGUUGAUGUCCUCUAGUGAUUGUUAGCAAUGCAUUCUUGCACAUAUUGUUUCAGACAAAAAAAUUAGUAUUUUGCAUUAGCAGAGGAUAAUUAGGCAAUAAGAUACAAAAGAGAGUAGGGUUAUCAUGAGAUAAACACACACAUGGGGUGUUAUGAGGCACAGCCAAGUAUCUGCAAUCCCUCCAGGGUAUGAUUAUCUCGUGAUAACCGUACACCCUGGAGUUGCCUUAUUGCUAUUAUAAAAUAUAUUUAUUAUAGGAAAAAAUGCACAUUUUUGUGCUGAAAGAAGACGAAGGUGGCAAUUUAGAAUGCUGAACAGCUGAGCUGUGUGGUUUACAUAGAUUAAUCUAUCCCAUUGGAAUGUUUCCUCAGCCAAAAAAAUGUUACCUAAAUCCAAGCAGUCAUAAUCUGUAGUGAUGUGCGGCUAUUUGGAGUAUUUGAGAAAUUCCCUCCUUGGUUCUUAUGCUGUUUAUUUGACUGCAAGGUAUGCACAUAAAAAUAUGAGGACAUGGAGAAGAGUUAACAGGAUGCUGAGCAUUUUGAAUGUUUGGUAAUAUUUCCAAUGUCUGGAUUCUUCCAUUUCACUUUUAUGCAAACUCUAUAUAAACAAUUGAAAGCUUCAGAGAGUUGAAAAUGCUUCUAAAACUAAUUCAAAACUAUUGGGAGAGGGAAGUUAGAAAGUACAAACAAUGUCAAAAGAGCUUUAAAAGCUGGGUAACUGAUGAGCCAGGGAGACACAAGGAGAUUCUUCCGAGCAGAACAGUGAUUUUCUUAUCAGGUAUAGAGAUGAUGUAGCAAGGUGUAAAGGCAGGUGCAUAAAUAGACACUGGUAUCUUUGUACAAAACCGAAGCUUUGCCACCAUCUUCAGAAGACCAAGGUUUCUACAAGAAAAUACUUAGCAUCAGUCUACACUUACUUACAUAAUAGACUAGUCUAUGUAAAUAGCCUCUCUGAGUCCUACUGCCUGUCUUUGUAGAUAAAAGUUGGCAAUUAGAAUAAUGAAUUAAAAUAACUUUGUUUGGUUGGUUGCAACUUGGUAGAUGCAAAAAUCAUGUCUCUGAAAAACAUUUGUAGAAGCUCUUAUGGUUUUAGAUGUUUUAUCAACAGUUAUGCUUAAAUAUCUAUUCUUAUACUAUCAUUCUAUUAUUAAUGAAAAACAUUAUCAUAGAGUUAUAGAAUGAUUUGUAUUGGAAAGAACUAACCAUGCUCUAGUGUACAGUAUCAGUCUCUCUGACAUGGGCAGGGACACCUUCCACCAGACCAGAUUGCUCAAAUGCCCAUCCAACCCGUCUUUGGUUACCUUCAGAGAUGGGACAUUUACAAAUACUCUGGACAACCUGUCUCACUAUUUCUUCCUCAUAUCAACUCGAAAUCUACCGUCUUUUAGUUUGAAGCCAUUAUCCCUGUCCUUCACUCCCUAAUAAGGAGUUCCUCUUCAACUUUUUCAUAGGCCCCCCUUUAGGUACUGGAGGGGUAUAUUAUCAUAUUUCAGUGCAACAGUUGGAAAUCGUUUCUUUAAGUUUGUAAUAUUAUUGAACAAAUAUUAAGAAGAAAUAAGCAUUGAAGUAGCUUACAAAUUGUGUGUUAAAAUGUAAUCAAUAUUUGUAUUAAUGUUUGGGCAUAAAAACACAGAAAGAGAGCCUUGCAGAAUUUAUUUCUGCUUAGAAUCUUGUACCAUGGCCUUCAAAAUUGUCAGCUUUAAUUUAAGAUUAGUGUUUAAUAUAGAAUAUGGAGAUCAAUGCAAUUGAUAUGAUUGAAUAAAAAAGUCCUUGUAAGGAUAUAUGGUGCACAUUUUUAAAUGCAACAAGUUCAAUAAUUGGUUUAAAUGUAAAAAUAAAUUGUGUCUAGAGAUAUCUGUCCUGGCCUGGGGUGAUGCUUUAUUGGUUUUUGCAUUUCACUAACUGAUGUGCUUUCAUGUAAAAUCAAUAUUAUUCAGUCAAAUAUAUUUUGCUGUGUUGUACAGUAAGCUCAGUUAUCCAAAAUAAAAUAUU
Molecule: long non-coding RNA, 2430 nt
Filed under: Gallus gallus (chicken)
Lineage: Eukaryota; Metazoa; Chordata; Aves; Galliformes; Phasianidae
Description: lncRNA (ENSGALG00010006887.1)
Source: RNAcentral